Molecule: ribosomal RNA, 809 nt
Filed under: bacterium SCGC AAA018-M4
Lineage: Bacteria
Description: SSU rRNA
Rfam family: Bacterial small subunit ribosomal RNA
Source: RNAcentral
UGCAGUCGAACGGGCUUAGGAGCUUGCUCCUAAGUUAGUGGCGAACGGGUGAGUAAUAUAUCGGAACAUGUCCGGAAGUGGGGGAUAACGUAGCGAAAGUUACGCUAAUACCGCAUAUGCCCUGAGGGGGAAAGGGGGGGAUCGCAAGACCUCUCGCUUUCGGAGUGGCCGAUAUCGGAUUAGCUAGUAGGUGAGGUAAAGGCUCACCUAGGCGACGAUCCGUAGCGGGUCUGAGAGGACGACCCGCCACACUGGAACUGAGACACGGUCCAGACUCCUACGGGAGGCAGCAGUGGGGAAUUUUGGACAAUGGGCGCAAGCCUGAUCCAGCCAUACCGCGUGAGUGAAGAAGGCCUUCGGGUUGUAAAGCUCUUUCAGCCGGAAAGAAAUCGCGUUUAUUAAUACUAAGCGUGGAUGACGGUACCGGAAGAAGAAGCACCGGCUAACUACGUGCCAGCAGCCGCGGUAAUACGUAGGGUGCGAGCGUUAAUCGGAAUUACUGGGCGUAAAGCGUGCGCAGGCCGUUUUGUAAGACAGAUGUGAAAUCCCCGGGCUCAACCUGGGAACUGCAUUUGUGACUGCAAGACUAGAGUGUAGCAGAGGGGGGUAGAAUUCCACGUGUAGCAGUGAAAUGCGUAGAGAUGUGGAGGAAUACCGAUGGCGAAGGCAGCCCCCUGGGCUAACACUGACGCUCAUGCACGAAAGCGUGGGGAGCAAACAGGAUUAGAUACCCUGGUAGUCCACGCCCUAAACGAUGUCAACUAGGUGUUGGGGAAGGAGACUUCUUUAGUACCGCAGCUAACGCGUGA